This 1061-nucleotide ribosomal RNA is filed under the name Ornithoctona erythrocephala. RNAcentral describes it as "eukaryotic LSU rRNA". It matches the Rfam family "Eukaryotic large subunit ribosomal RNA", at positions 51 to 883 of the family's 3401-position model. The record is from RNAcentral. Lineage: Eukaryota; Metazoa; Arthropoda; Insecta; Diptera; Hippoboscidae.
GGGAGGAAAAGAAACUAACAAGGAUUUUCUUAGUAGCGGCGAGCGAAAAGAAAAUAGUUCAGCACUAAGUCACUUUGCCUUAUAUGGUAAAUGUGAGAUGCAGUGUAUGGAAUGUUCAAUUCUAACAUGAGAAAUUGAUGAUUUAAGUCCUUCUUAAAUGAGGCCAUUUACCCAUAGAGGGUGCUAGGCCCGUAUAACAUUAAUGAUUGUUAGUGAACAUUUCCAAAGAGUCGUGUUGCUUGAUAGUGCAGCACUAAGAGGGUGGUAAACUCCAUCUAAAACUAAAUAUAACCAUGAGACCGAUAGUAAACAAGUACCGUGAGGGAAAGUUGAAAAGAACUCUGAAUAGAGAGUUAAAUAGUACGUGAAACUGCUUAGAGGUUAAGCCCGAUGAACCUGAAUAUCCAUUAUGGAAAAUUCAUCAUUAUGAUUAUAAUAUAUAUAUAUAAAAAAUUUUAUAAUAAUGGUGUGCAUUUUUUCUAUAUAAGGACAUUGUAAUCUAUUAAUAAAUGAAAAAAAAUUUAUCAUAAGAUUAAUAGUUUUAAAGUUUUAUUUAAAUUAUAUUUUGCUUAUGCAUAUAUAUAAAUUAUAUGAAUGCUAUUAAUUUGAUAAAUUAUUGAUAGAUUUAAUUAUAAUAUAAUGCUUAAAUAUAUGUGAAUACAUAUAUUUUUUAAUUAUAUAUAUAAAUUAUUUUUUAUAUAUAUUAAUUAUAUGCAUUUAUAUGAUUAACAAUGCGAAAGAUUCAGGAUACCUUCGGGACCCGUCUUGAAACACGGACCAAGGAGUCUAACAUAUUUGCAAGUUAUUGGGAUUUUAUGAAAAACCUAAUAGCAUAAUUAACAUAACGAAAUUAAAAGAAUGGGAUUAGUUUUUAGUUCUAUAUAUAUAUAGUCUAUUAAUUCAAUCCCGGGGCGUUCUAUAUAGUUAUGUAUAAUAAUAUUUAUAUUAUUUAUACCUCUAACUAGAACGUACCUUGAGCAUAUAUGCUGUGACCCGAAAGAUGGUGAACUAUACUUGAUCAGGUUGAAGUCAGGGGAAACCCUGAUGGAAGACCGAAACAG